RNAcentral lists this ribosomal RNA (234 nucleotides) under uncultured bacterium. RNAcentral describes it as "partial 16S ribosomal RNA". It matches the Rfam family "Bacterial small subunit ribosomal RNA", at positions 118 to 347 of the family's 1533-position model. The record is from RNAcentral.
UGAGUAACCUGCCCUUAACUCUGGGAUAAGCCUGGGAAACUGGGUCUAAUACCGGAUAUGACUCCUCAUCGCAUGGUGGGGGGUGGAAAGCUUUUUUGUGGUUUUGGAUGGACUCGCGGCCUAUCAGCUUGUUGGUGAGGUAAUGGCUCACCAAGGCGACGACGGGUAGCCGGCCUGAGAGGGUGACCGGCCACACUGGGACUGAGACACGGCCCAGACUCCGUACGGGAGCAG